This 253-nucleotide ribosomal RNA is filed under the name uncultured bacterium. Its description in RNAcentral is "partial 16S ribosomal RNA". It matches the Rfam family "Bacterial small subunit ribosomal RNA", at positions 524 to 776 of the family's 1533-position model. The record is from RNAcentral.
UACAUGGGGUGCAAACGUUGCUCUGAAUUAUUGGGCGUAAAGCGCACGUAGGCGGUUUGUUAAGUCGGAUGUGAAAUCCCUCGGCUCAACUGAGGAAGUGCAUCCGAAACUGGCAAGCUUGAGUACGAAAGAGGGUCGCGGAAUUCCCGGUGUAGAGGUGAAAUUCGUAGAUAUCGGGAGGAACACCGGUGGCGAAGGCGGCGACCUGGGGCGAUACUGACGCUGAGGUGCGAAAGCGUGGGGAGCAAACAGG